GAUGAACGCUGGCGGCGUGCUUAACACAUGCAAGUCGAACGGUGAAGCUCCAGCUUGCUGGAGUGGAUCAGUGGCGAACGGGUGAGUAACACGUGAGCAACCUGCCCCUGACUCUGGGAUAACAGCCGGAAACGGCUGCUAAUACCGGAUAUGCACCAUGAACGCAUGUUCUGUGGUGGGAAAGAUUUUUCGGUUGGGGAUGGGCUCGCGGCCUAUCAGCCUGUUGGUGAGGUAAUGGCUCACCAAGGCGUCGACGGGUAGCCGGCCUGAGAGGGUGACCGGCCACACUGGGACUGAGACACGGCCCAGACUCCUACGGGAGGCAGCAGUGGGGAAUAUUGCACAAUGGGCGAAAGCCUGAUGCAGCAACGCCGCGUGAGGGAUGACGGCCUUCGGGUUGUAAACCUCUUUUAGCAGGGAAGAAGCGAGAGUGACGGUACCUGCAGAAAAAGCGCCGGCUAACUACGUG
Molecule: ribosomal RNA, 469 nt
Filed under: uncultured bacterium
Lineage: Bacteria
Description: partial 16S ribosomal RNA
Rfam family: Bacterial small subunit ribosomal RNA
Source: RNAcentral